GCCGCAGUUCACACGUGGUUGCUGUCCGUGACUUUCAACGUCACUUCCUGUGCGCGUUUACGACACUUGGUACGACAGUAUCAUGGCGGCGUUCGGAGCCAGUUUUGAAAGUGCGGAAAGCGUCCAGCAAAGAAGGGAGUUGAAACGAAAGGCCAAAGAAGAAGCACUGCGGCAGGCCAAGGACAAGUUUGAGCAGGAGGAGAGGAGGAAGGAGCUGAAGCACGCCCGAGGAGAGGACACCUGGAUGCUCCCACAGGUCGACUUGCGGCUGCAGGAGCUAGAACAGUUCUCUUCUCAGGAACACUCAUCCGCAAGGAAGAAGAAGGAGAAGAAGUCCAGAAAGAGCAAGAAGGAGAGGAAGAAGAAAGCGAAGAAAGACGAGAAGGCUGGACAGCAGGAAGCGAGCAGUGACAGCUCUGAGGACUCUGAGGAUGAGUGGGUGGAGACACCGCCCAAAGCCGAUGCCCUGGCGAAGGCGUGGAAGAUCCCCGCUGAGAAGCUGCCUUCAGCUGUCGACCAGGCCCCGCCCAGCCAGAGAGACGAGUGGAUGACCUUCGACUUCUUAACCAUGAAGACGUCAUCGGUAGUAGAGCGACGUGCAGAGAGGGAGAGGGCCAAGGAGGUGGAGCGGGAGAAGGCACAAGCCGUUGAGCAGGCUGGACUACACAAGCUGGAGUUGAAUCCCUAUUGGAAGGAUGGAGGGUCUGGGCUGCCUUCUGAGGACACUCCAGUUCUAAAAGCCACAGUGGUGGAUGACGGUGGGCUCAGCUGGCUCCAGAAGUCCUACCAGCGCAUGAGGGAGCAGGCCCAGAGGGAGCAGCGCAGCUUGGAGGAGGUGGUGUCUGAGAGAUACGGGUCCAUGGAGAAGUUCCUCAAGAGGCUAGAGGAGGCAGAAAAUGCAACUCGUACCAAAGGGGGGCAUCAGGAAGAGCGGGGAUGGAAGAGAGUGGGUCCUCGAUCCUCAGACAUUAGGCAGGACCAUGACUUGUCCCCAGUAGCUAGCCGAGGCAAGGAACAGGGUAGAGAUGAGGACAGGGACCGGGACAUGGGCGGGGACAGGAACAAGAGUGGAGCAAGGGCUCGGGACAGAGACAGGGGUGGCCAUGCAGAGGAGGCACGACAAAGAACCAGGGAGGAACAGCAGCCUCAUGGAGAGACAGAGAGAGCCCGGCCUGGCCUGUCCCGGGCCUCCCUGAAAGCCAAGUUCCUUAAGCCCUCAGAUGGGGGACAUGACAUGAGCGCCACCUGGGGGGUCAGGCGCCACACCCCCGUGGAAUUGCUGCAGCCCAGCGACAGCGAGGGUAAGCCUGCUGGUGGGUAUCCGGCCUGGAGGAAGAUGAGCUGCUCUGGACAGGAUGCCAUCAGAUCCACUUCUUUGGAAGGGCAGUCUGGCAGUGGCCCCAGAGCGCCUUCGCCAGGAGAGGUCAGAACGGAGAUCAUCAUGGGUCAGCAGCAGCAGAAGCAGCCUCAUGGGAAAGUUCCACAGAGCCGAAGCAGAGCCACAGGGACAUUGCCCAGGGUUCCCGAGUCAGUGAGUAAAGACAACGAGGUAGAGGAAGAAGAGCUUCUCACAGAAGAGCAAAUGAACAAACUGGGGGCCAAGCUGGUCAAGGCUGAGCUCAUGGGGAACAAGGACUUGGUGGAGAAGCUCAGUGCCCAGCUAGCAGCUGCCCGUCGAGCCAGAGAAAACCAGACCAAGGGCGGGGCACUGGCCGGGGGACCUCGAAUUGUCCAGAGCCAGGCAGCAGGGCAGCUGGAGGAAGACCGGGAGGUGGUUCUGUACCGGAUGGACCAGUCUGGUCAGGCAUGGCCUGUCGGUGCCCCAUCGCAGCCCUUGGAGCCCAGAGGGGGACGCAGGAAGAAGAAGUUGAUCGAGACGCACCGCGACGGAGAGCGUAUGCGCUACUUUGCGGACGACGACAGCGUGGACCUGCGCGAGAUGGUACGCAGGGAGAAGAUGAGCUCAUCCGUGGACCAGAACGCCCUGUAUUCCCGCAUGGCGGCCAAGGCCCUGGGGAAGCAGGAUGGGGACGCCUACACUCUGGACGACAUGUUUGUGUCCAGCGCAGCGCAGCAGGAACGCUCAGGGCAGGAGGAAGAGCGCCAGCGCAGUCGCGCCGUACACGAGCACCAGCGUCUGGCGGCACGCAUGGACAAAUGUCCGUACUGCUUCGACAGCGCCGAGCUGCCCAAACACCUGGUGGUGGCCAUCGGCACCAAGGUGUACCUGUGUCUGCCCAAUGCCGUCUCCCUGACAGAGGGACAUUGCCUGGUCGUGCCGCUGCAGCAUCACACGGCCGCCACCGCCCUGGACGAGGAGGUGUGGGAUGAGGUCCAGGUCUGUCCGAGUCUCCGUUUUUCAAAUUCCCGCAAAACUCCCAAAUGGCGCAACAAGCGGUGGUGUCCUCAUUCGCGACUAACUCCAUAUGUGUGUUGGUUCAUUUGUGGGCAGUACGUAGGGAAGGGGCGCAGAAGUUUCCUCCUUCUUCCUCGUUGCUCUGCUCCAUUCCCCCAUCAUCACUGUCCACUGCAUUUCCCUCCUGUGUGUGUUACUGUGGCUGCUGUGGGAUGCCCUGUACCGCAGCUGCGGGAGCAGUAAUUGGUGCACUCGAGUCCAAGCAUAGACCCACUAGGUUGCUGAAAGCCUUCCGUGAUUGCUAACGAUGUGGCUGGGUCUGUGCCGGACUUCUUGUGUCCACGGCUUGUCUCUCGUUAUUCUGUUUUAGUGGUAGGACAACAGAGUAACAGAGUAGGAUGUUGAGGGUUAUGGGUGUCCUCUGGGCUCCAGGCUCUGUAACCCCACUGGGAGCUGUGACUAUGAGAUCCAGUGUAUGGUCGACAGUGUGUAUAUGUAUUCUUAUUACAACGUGCCACUGCUUGUGUUGUGUCGCUUCUUCAGGACCCUCUAUGUUCGGUAGUUAACCCAACUAGUGGGGUUACUUGUCCUGCUCGUGGUAGGUCCACAAGUGAAAGGCUCUCGGUUCUUUCUUCUGGCUCCAGGGUGGUGAAAUGAGCUCCUUGUGUCCCUCAGAGCUGCUAAAUCCCACCUUGCAUUGAAGAAAGGCCUCAAACCCAUGUUUUUCAGAGCCACUUUUCUUCUGAUCUCCUCACAGCUACAGAAAUGAGUCCAACACCAUUAUCUAUGCGUACCUCUCCUUCCUGGGGUUCUUUCGUGCAUGACUGGGGGUGCAAAUGCUUGAAAAACAUGCAAAGCCCACACACCCAGUGUUGGACCCGAACCCACAUCCACGGAGCAGCUCAGGAGCAGUGAGGCACCAGCUUUACCCGCUGCACCUCCGUGUCCUACAUAAAUGGCUUUAAUAACAUUAGUACCCUUAGUACUAAUACUAGUUUCAUUCUAGGGGAACCGAUAUAGACGCACGUCUGGU
Scleropages formosus (Asian bonytongue) is the source of this 3389-nucleotide RNA transcript. It is a transcript of the gene named CWF19 like cell cycle control factor 2, with no coding region annotated. The record is from RefSeq and is a predicted model, not a curated record. Lineage: Eukaryota; Metazoa; Chordata; Actinopteri; Osteoglossiformes; Osteoglossidae. The transcript has 15 exons.